RNAcentral lists this long non-coding RNA (952 nucleotides) under Heterocephalus glaber (naked mole-rat). RNAcentral's name for it is "lncRNA (ENSHGLG00000031327.2)". Lineage: Eukaryota; Metazoa; Chordata; Mammalia; Rodentia; Bathyergidae. The record is from RNAcentral.
GUGGAAUCUUCUGGUUAGAACCUUGAACCAUUGUCUCCUACAGCAGAUGUCACAAUAGGAUUGUCCAGAAGGUCAAGGACUUUGAGAUUCAAUGGCUGUUUAUUGAAGCUACAGUGGGGUAACUCUGAGUAACUUGUUCAAGAUUUUUUAAAAUACUUGGAUUCAUCAGGACGAGAUUUUCCAGGGGGCUCUCUGACCCGAUCCUGUUCACUCUCAUUCUUUGGGACAAGGACAGCUUUGGCAGUGAGUCUAGAUGCCAAACCCACCAGCAGGCAAGGGGAUCUAUCUUGGGGUGCUUAGCAUUGUACAGCUCAAAGUGUGUGGCAACUCACUGUGUACGCAAGCUUGAAAACAAUCAGCAAUCUUCUUCAUUCAAUUAAACACUAACCAGCCUAGAUGCCAGAGAGAAGGGCAGGGUGGCAUCUUCUCUGAGAGCAUCUGCCAGUCCUUCCACACAGCAUGAGACUGGGUGUAAGAGACACUGCACUACUCUAACAAAAGAAUCCGGACGGUGGGAAAUCUGUGGAAUCUCUUCCUACACUGAAGAUGUUCUAAGAGAUGCUGGAAUUGAAGCCAAGAUCCAGAACUGCAAAUUAAAUAGCAAUGAAACCACACCACCAAGAUAGCCAAGAUAAAAACAUCUGACAAUACCAAAUGCUGUGGAAGAUACUAAUCAAAUUGAACUCUCUCUGUUGGUGAGAAGACAAACUGGUAGAGGACUAUUGUGGUUUAUAUCUAGAUGUCAUAAGUGGGGCUUUUGGGAGGUGAGUGGAUCAUGGGGCAUGGUACUCAUCCAUGCAUUACUCCACUGAUGAGUUUAUAACUAAAUGUGAUGUUGGGAGGUGAAACGUGAUUGGAGGAGGUGAGGGUGUGUUCUGGAAGGGUUUAUCUCCCUCCUCCUCCCUUGAUCUAUCUCUCUGUUUCCUGCCUCCAUGUUACCAACUGUUUCUCC